AAGUUAGAUAGAGUGCAAACAAUGUAUCCGUGAAACACUAAUCAUUAAAGUGUUCAAAAUAGUGCUAGUUAAACAAUGUGUAAUAGUCAAAUAGACACAAAAGAAGACAAUGGAAUUGGGUCUGCUAAUGUGUAUUGGUCUAAUAUCUAUUUCACGGGUUUCAUGACUUCACUCUAGAAUUAGCAUAAAAUAGUGUAAGUUAGUAAUACUAAUAUUUCACUGAUAUAUUGUUUGCACUCUAAAAUAAUGAUAGUGUAGUUCAGUGAGCRAAACAACUUCUCCUCAUACAGUAUCAUAGAAUUUCUUUAUUAUGGGGUAGCACAUUUAUUGAUUAUUUUGCAUUUAUACAUGCUGGCAGCCGAAUGCUUGAUAGCAUUUAUGAAUAAUAACAGAUUGCCUACUCUACAAGUAAAACUCUUUCAAAAUCUACUCACUUUGGCAAAGUAUGUACAGCCUUGAUACAAGAAGAUAGGUAUUGUGAUAUUUUUCAUUAGUGAAGUUUUAAAACUUWUCUUUAAUUGUAUGAUAUAUUAUUAAUAUUAUUAUCAUAUUUACAUGUAGUUUUAAUAUUUUCUGUUCUGUUCAUGGCUGCAUCAUAAAAACAAGUGGUCUUGUUGCUUUCAAUAGCCUAGUACACUGUGAACAGUCCCUCUCAUAAGGUCAUUGUUUGGUGUUCACUUUGGUUGAUAUUAUCUAGCCUUACCCCCAGGGGAGGGGACUAGGGGGAUCAUGGCUCACACCCAAUCCUCUCUUCAUCAAAGAAAUAUAUUAAGACUGACCAAGAAAAACAGAGUCUGCUAAGCAGCCCUCUGUAAUAUGGCUGGUGGAGUUUUUUUUUAAUGGCUAGUUUACAUAACUAGCACAAUUAUGAUAGCAUUUGCCUGUCACUGUAGGCUGCUAAUGAGAUUGGUUUAGCUAAGUAACCUAUCAGUAAUGAUUGAUUCAGUCUGCUUAAGAAUAACAAGUAAAUGUCUGGUAGCUCA
Molecule: long non-coding RNA, 983 nt
Organism: Actinia tenebrosa (Australian red waratah sea anemone)
Lineage: Eukaryota; Metazoa; Cnidaria; Anthozoa; Actiniaria; Actiniidae
Source: RefSeq, a predicted model, not a curated record